CGCGUAGGUGGUUCGAUCAGUCGGAGGUGAAAGCCCUCGGCUCAACCGAGGAUCCGCGUCCGAUACUGUCGAACUUGAGUGCAGGAGAGGAGAGCGGAAUUCCCAGUGUAGCGGUGAAAUGCGUAGAUAUUGGGAGGAACACCGGUGGCGAAGGCGGCUCUCUGGACUGCCACUGACACUGAGGCGCGAAAGCUAGGGGAGCAAACGGGAUUAGAUACCCCGGUAGUCCUAGCCGUAAACGAUGGGCACUAGGUGUGGGAGGUAUCCGACCCCUUCCGUGCCGCAGCUAACGCACUAAGUGCCCCGCCUGGGGAUACGGCCGCAAGGUUGAA
This 332-nucleotide ribosomal RNA is filed under the name uncultured bacterium. RNAcentral's name for it is "bacterial SSU rRNA". It matches the Rfam family "Bacterial small subunit ribosomal RNA", at positions 568 to 898 of the family's 1533-position model. The record is from RNAcentral.